Mytilus trossulus (common blue mussel) is the source of this 857-nucleotide long non-coding RNA. RefSeq lists it as uncharacterized. The record is from RefSeq and is a predicted model, not a curated record. NCBI's taxonomy places the organism in Eukaryota, Metazoa, Mollusca, Bivalvia, Mytilida, Mytilidae. The transcript has 2 exons.
UUGUUGCUGUCAGAUUCUACUUGUAAAUAUGUAAAUAACAUUAACUGGCUGGAAUGCAAUGCUAUAUCUGGUGCUAAUAUAUACACUCUUCAUCAAUUUGUAAAUGACAACAAAUCACUUUUAAGAAAAUACACACAUUUGUUAUUGCAUGUAGGCACAAAUGAUGUUGGAAAUGGUUUAUCCAGUAAAUUGAUUAUUCAAUAUUAUAAUAAUUUAAUUGAUUUUAUUUGCAAUGUUUUUCCUUCUUUAAAGAUAAUAGUUUCAGCAAUUUUGCCAAGACCUAUAGAUUUUGAUGACACAAAACAAACUGUAAUAGAAUGUAAUAAAGCUUUGGCUAAGCUUACUUUAAAGAGAAAUAUUUUAUUUGUCAAAACUUAUAAGCAAUUUGUUCAGCAACCAGGAUCUAUUUAUAAAAGUAAAUGUUUUUGUAAAGAUAGAUUACACUUAAGUUAUUUUGGUGUUUCAGUUUUAAGAAACUUUUUUAUAGGUGUAGUUAAUCAUUUGUAAUUAUACAAUGUUGUAUUUAAAUGUAUUUUUUUUUCAAGAUACUUUGUGGUUUUUAAUUUUAUUUUUCAGAAGAUGAUGGUCAAGAAAGCUGGGCUAGACCAUUACUUCUACAUCUGGUUUACCUGUGAACCUAUAUUAGUUUGCAGGAUUCCAGAAGUAACUGUUGUUGUAUGUAUUAUCAGAUAAUGCAGAUUGAUGAAUUUGAUGUCUGUUUGGGAAGUGACUGGUGCAUUUAUAUAUUUUGGAAAUUAAUAUUUAUCAAGAAUAUGGACUUUAAAUGAGAAAUUUAUUUAUGACAUAUGUAUGAUUGUAAAUUGUUAUUUAUGCCAAAAUAUGAUUAUCAUUACUUA